AGCUUAGGUCCUGUUUACCAUCCAGUAUUUAAACAACACGAUGUGUGAUGUGUAGUUCAUAGGUAUUGUUGCAAAUACAAGACUGUUGCAAGAAUGAUUCGGACGCUGUUUGUGGCAACCAUGCUGUUGUGUUUGUUCACACCAGGUGUUAUUGGCGAUCAUAAAUGGCCAUGGGAUUGCCAUGGGUAUGACCCGGUAUGUGGGGUUGAUGGCAAAACCUACGGGAACAUGUGCGAACUCCGACGCGCAGGUGUAAGUCUGGCUUAUAAAGGGGUCUGUAAAUACGGAGGAUACGGAGGAUGAGCAAUCAACGAUACAAGCUUUCACAGAAGAAAAUAUGAAAAAGCUAUAGUUAUACUACACUAUGUAUUUUGUGUUAUAUAACUUUUUUUUCUUAUUAAAGAAUUUCCAAUGAA
Molecule: long non-coding RNA, 416 nt
Organism: Dreissena polymorpha
Lineage: Eukaryota; Metazoa; Mollusca; Bivalvia; Myida; Dreissenidae
Exons: 4
Source: RefSeq, a predicted model, not a curated record